Gossypium raimondii (Peruvian cotton) is the source of this 106-nucleotide non-coding RNA. The record is from Rfam. NCBI's taxonomy places the organism in Eukaryota, Viridiplantae, Streptophyta, Magnoliopsida, Malvales, Malvaceae.
AGUCCAUGAUGUAGGCACUUUCUUAACAUCGCCUUGAAUAAUUCCUAUGCCUCGUAUAAUGAUUCUCCUUUAUAUUGUUUGAAGUUGGCGAUUUCUCAUCUCAACU